GGAAUAAGCAUAAGGAGUGUCGAUGAUAUGAAACUUCGUUUUUUGUACAAGUUUUAGUUGGACGUCCUGUCGUUUUGAGAACCAUGAAGUUGGCGAUUGCGUGUAUGCUUCUAAUGUGCUUGGCAGCUGCGAACUGCUCAGUUCUGGACAGUGCCUGUCACAAGAACGGCGGCUCCUGCUACAGCAUGUUCACCGACGUGUUUUGCAUGGGGAAGCGCACUGCGGACGACUGUGGAGGCAGUUAUCUCUACUGCUGCAUGUACAACGCCGGCAAUUAACAUCCUUCACCAGGAUCACUUGCAAAACGACGUCACAGAAGUAGAAGCCGUAUUCGCUCAUAUGUAGUUGAAAUAACAGUAUUCGAUAAUCAAAAAUAUAAUCGUAUCAA
Long non-coding RNA from Haliotis rubra (blacklip abalone), 388 nucleotides. RefSeq lists it as uncharacterized. Lineage: Eukaryota; Metazoa; Mollusca; Gastropoda; Lepetellida; Haliotidae. The transcript is spliced from 2 exons. The record is from RefSeq and is a predicted model, not a curated record.